This 253-nucleotide ribosomal RNA is filed under the name uncultured bacterium. Its description in RNAcentral is "partial 16S ribosomal RNA". It matches the Rfam family "Bacterial small subunit ribosomal RNA", at positions 524 to 776 of the family's 1533-position model. The record is from RNAcentral.
GACAGAGGGUGCAAACGUUGCUCGGAAUCACUGGGCGUAAAGCGCGUGUAGGCGGGAAUGUAAGUCGGGCGUGAAAGCCCCAGGCUCAACCUGGGAACUGCACUCGAAACUGCGUUUCUUGAGUAUCGGAGAGGAAAGCGGAAUACCUGGUGUAGAGGUGAAAUUCGUAGAUAUCAGGAAGAACACCCGUGGCGAAGGCGGUUCUCUGGGACGGUACUGACGCUGAGACGCGAAAGCGUGGGGAGCGAACAGG